Molecule: ribosomal RNA, 520 nt
Filed under: uncultured Glomeromycotina
Lineage: Eukaryota; Fungi; Glomeromycota
Description: SSU rRNA
Rfam family: Eukaryotic small subunit ribosomal RNA
Source: RNAcentral
AGCAGCCGCGGUAAUUCCAGCUCCAAUAGCGUAUAUUAAAGUUGUUGCAGUUAAAAAGCUCGUAGUUGAACUUCGGGGUUCACCCCAUUGGCCAGGCUUAAUUGUCUGUACUGGUGAGAUGAGUCUCUACCUUCUGAGGAACUUUCAUGCCAUUUAUUUGGUGUGGCUGGAAAUCAGGACUGUUACUUUGAAAAAUUGAGUGUUUAAAGCAGGCUAACGUCUGAAUACAUUAGCAUGGAAUAAUGAAAUAGGACGGAUUGAUUCUAUUUCGUUGGUUUCUAGGGUCACCGUAAUGAUUAAUAGGGAUAGUUGGGGGCAUUAGUAUUCAAUUGUCAGAGGUGAAAUUCUUGGAUUUAUUGAAGACUAACUACUGCGAAAGCAUUUGCCAAGGAUGUUUUCAUUAAUCAAGAAUGAAAGUUAGGGGAUCGAAGACGAUCAGAUACCGUCGUAGUCUUAACCAUAAACUAUGCCGACUAGGGAUCGGACGCAGUUAAUUUAUAAUGACGUGUUACGGCUAACC